RNAcentral lists this long non-coding RNA (716 nucleotides) under Danio rerio (zebrafish). Its description in RNAcentral is "si:dkey-223g10.3 (ENSDARG00000097538.2)". Lineage: Eukaryota; Metazoa; Chordata; Actinopteri; Cypriniformes; Danionidae. The record is from RNAcentral.
GUAAUAACAGACAUCCGGUCUCAAUCUCUGUGGGAGCAUUUGUAUUACUGGAAAGCACGCCGUUUAUUAUCAGCCAGUGCACAUACAGGCCAUUAAGAUGUACGCAGAUCUCAACAACAGGCUGAUCAACAGAAACUCCUCACUUGCUUCACUAGAGACCUUUCCGAUUUUCUCAAGAGAAACUUCAUACUUCUCUGAAAUCUGGAGGAGAGCGAAUGCAUUAGCAGGGCGAUUUUUGGGCGGAGGGCGGAGCUGUGUCACCACGGAGGAGCUCAGAGUAGAGCCGCUGCUCCUCUACAUAGAGAGAAGGGCUUGGGCAUCUGUUUUCGGAUGUCUCCUGGACACCCACCUAGGGAGGUGUUUCAGGCAUGUCCCACUGGGAUGAGGCCUAGGAGAAGACCCAGGACAUGCUGGAGGGACUAUGUCUUUUGGCUGGCCUGGGAACACCUCAGGACUUUACUCAACUACUUAAUAAAAUGUAGUUUCUGAAAAAAUCUACUUAAUUACAGUAAUUUAAGUACUUGUAAUUUGUAAUACCUCUGAUACUUUCCUUUAGCUGUGGCAGUCCUGUGGCAGCUUUAUCAGCUCUUUCUGAGCUGGACAUUUUUGUGAUUCUCAUCUCGGCCUCCUGCUAUGUUUUUAUGCUUAUGGCCUGUUGACAUUGAUCUCCUACGUAACGCACUGUCCCUAUUAAAUUAUCCUGCUUCUGACUCUAA